AUUGAACGCUGGCGGCAUGCUUUACACAUGCAAGUCGAACGGUAACAGGCCGCAAGGUGCUGACGAGUGGCGAACGGGUGAGUAAUGCAUCGGAACGUGCCCAGUCGUGGGGGAUAACUACUCGCAAGAGUAGCUAAUACCGCAUACGAUCUAUGGAUGAAAGCGGGGGACCGUAAGGCUUCGCGCGAUUGGAGCGGCCGAUGUCAGAUUAGGUAGUUGGUGGGGUAAAGGCUCACCAAGCCAACGAUCUGUAGCUGGUCUGAGAGGACAACCAGCCACACUGGGACUGAGACACGGCCCAGACUCCUACGGGAGGCAGCAGUGGGGAAUUUUGGACAAUGGGCGCAAGCCUGAUCCAGCAAUGCCGCGUGCAGGAAGAAGGCCUUCGGGUUGUAAACUGCUUUUGUACGGAACGAAACGGCUCUGGUUAAUACCCGGGGCUAAUGACGGUACCGUAAGAAUAAGCACCGGCUAACUACGUG
This 482-nucleotide ribosomal RNA is filed under the name uncultured bacterium. RNAcentral's name for it is "partial 16S ribosomal RNA". It matches the Rfam family "Bacterial small subunit ribosomal RNA", at positions 30 to 507 of the family's 1533-position model. The record is from RNAcentral.